RNAcentral lists this ribosomal RNA (660 nucleotides) under uncultured bacterium. RNAcentral's name for it is "bacterial SSU rRNA". It matches the Rfam family "Bacterial small subunit ribosomal RNA", at positions 367 to 1020 of the family's 1533-position model. The record is from RNAcentral.
GUGAAUGGGCGAAAGCUGAUCCAUCAAUACCGCGUGUGUGAAGAAGGCCUGAGGGUUGUAAAGCACUUUCAAUAGGAAGGAAUACCUAUCGGUUAAUACCCGGUAGACUGACAUUACCUAUACAAGAAGCACCGGCUAACUCCGUGCCAGCAGCCGCGGUAAUACGGAGGGUGCAAGCGUUAAUCGGAAUUACUGGGCGUAAAGCGUGCGUAGGCGGUUAUUUAAGUCAGAUGUGAAAGCCCUGGGCUUAACCUGGGAACUGCAUUUGAUACUGGAUGACUAGAGUUGAGUAGAGGAGAGUGGAAUUUCAGGUGUAGCGGUGAAAUGCGUAGAGAUCUGAAGGAACACCAGUGGCGAAGGCGGCUCUCUGGACUCAAACUGACGCUGAGGUACGAAAGCGUGGGUAGCAAACAGGAUUAGAUACCCUGGUAGUCCACGCCGUAAACGAUGUCGACUAACCGUUGGGUUCUUUAAGAACUUAGUGGUGGAGCUAACGUAUUAAGUUGACCGCCUGCGGAGUACGGCCGCAAGGCUAAAACUCAAAUGAAUUGACGGGGGCCCGCACAAGCGGUGGAGCAUGUGGUUUAAUUCGAUGCAACCGCGAAAAACCUUACCUACCCUUGACCUGUAGCGAAUCCUUUACAGAUAGAGGAGUGCCUU